Mesocricetus auratus (golden hamster) is the source of this 562-nucleotide long non-coding RNA. RefSeq lists it as uncharacterized. The record is from RefSeq and is a predicted model, not a curated record. Lineage: Eukaryota; Metazoa; Chordata; Mammalia; Rodentia; Cricetidae. The transcript is spliced from 2 exons.
CAUUUCUUGACUCUUUCCUUUCUCUGACUAGAACGUAAGUGCCUUUGUCUGUGGCCUCUGCCUGUCUGGCCACCUAUGCAUGCCUCACAACUAGAAGGACACUUUGUACAACAGGCACCCAAGAAAUGAUUGUUGAGCAAAUUCUAUCGACAUCCUCCUUCAAAUGGUUUCUCUUCUGAUACCCACCUCAGCACACUUAAAGACACAGGUUCAUUUGAGCUGAGUGUCUCUCUUCCUUGCAACCAGAAGAGGCUAACUGUAAAGAUGCUAGUCCAGACAACAGAGGAAAAAUGAAUCCAUGAGAUUGCUUCCAACUAAACUCGGUGUGAGAAAAAGACAACAGAAGGAAAGCCAUGGGACAGAGGCAAAUCUGAAGAACGUAUGUCUCAUAAGAGAGUGGCAUCCAAAAAUAUAGCAACUCAGCCUCAGCAGAAAGAAAAUAAACAGCCCCAUUUUUUAAAAUAAGCAAAUGCCCUAAAAUGACAUACAAAUGUACCAAGCAUAUGAAAAAUGCUCAACACCCCUAAUAUCCAGAGAAAAACAAGUUAAACCUGUGAUUUCA